UGAUUCACAUAUCAAGUGCACCAUAAUUAUAUUUCUGUUCUUGAGCAGCUUUGUUUGUCCUGAGUUCAUAACUGCCUCAUUUUUCCCCCUUAGUGUUCUAUGCGCUUUCCACUAAUUCUGUUUCAAACCUUCAGUCUGUUCAGACACAACUCUAUGAGAUAAUUUAGUUUCACGUAUUUUUCUCAAGGCUCUCUCUUCUGGUGCCCCUCUCAUCCUGUUGAAUCUGGGCUGAUUGGCUUCUAUCUCUCUGCAGAACUGACUUAAUCUUGGAUCUCCCAUCAGCAUUAUUCUAGGAAUUCCCUUUUCCCCACAUUUCCCAGAUUCCUUAUUUUCUCUUUCUUGGGUUACUCUUUUGUUUAGAAGAACGCAACCUCCAUUAACUUUUUGUGAAAAGAAUCUUUGGAGGUAAAUGUCUUCAGACUUUUCAUGGCUUUAUUCUACACUCACACUUGGCUGCUUGUUUGGCCGUCAUAGACUUCCCUAUAGCAUUCCUUCGCUACAGUUCACUGCUGAGACUCCUGAGGCCAGGGCGACUGCCAGUCCUCUGUGUAUGACCUUUUUCUCCUCCACCACUGCUUCCUCCUUCUUCCUCUUCUCCUCUGUGAAAGUUUCUCAGAUCAUCUCAGAGCUCCCACUGUUCUGAAAUUUCCCAAUGAUGUUCUUAGUAUGAGCCUUUUUAAUGUGUACUCAGUGGGCCCUGUUAAUUUGAUAACUCAUAUCCUUCCGUAUUAUUUCUUUGAUAAUUUCCUCCUUUCUGUUUUCUCUGUCCUUUCUUUUAGGAACUCCUACUAGUUACAUGUGUGAGGUCCUGCGUUCAUUCUUCAACAUCUCCAAACAGCCCUUGUCUUAAGCCCUGGUGGCAAGUCAGCAGUCUGAAUCCACCAGCCGCUCCUUGGAAACCCAAUGGGGCAGUUCUACUCUGUCCUUAGGGUCUCUCUGAGUUAGAAUUGGCUCUAUGGUAAUGGGUUUAUUGGUUAAAUAUUGCCCUCAUCAUCUUAUUUUCUUAUAUUUUCUCUCACAUUUUCUAACUACCUCCUGUUGGUUCUGUUGUGUGAGUUUCUUCAACCUUAUCCUCCAACUCUUGUAUUGACUACUUCAUUUUGCUUUUUAAUUAACAAAAGCUCUUCCUUGUUCUUUGAAUCCUCCUUUUUUAAGUCCUUCAAAAUAACUUAUCCUAUAUUUUUAAGGAUGUUAAUUACUUGAGGAAUUUAUUUUUAAGCUUGCUUCUGCCCUCUGCAUUAUCUUUCUUUGCUCUGAGUUACAUUUUUCUGGGUUCGUUUUUGUUGUUGUUCUUUCUUUCUUACAUUAUGGUCUAUAGGGUCUCUGUGAGUCAGCAAUGGUUUUGGUUUUGGAAUUUUUGCCUUAGAGAUUUUCCUAAAGGCUUGAUGAUCCUUGGUUGUCCAUUCUUAUGUAAGAGUGCAGAGUUAUAAUAAUAUUUACAAGGUAAUUGCGCGAGACACUUCCUCUCAACUGUUGAGCUUCAUCAUAGAUUGAGACCUGGUUAUUUCCAAGGGGAACCUCUUUAGGUCUUCUCUUUGGUGAGUUUCCCCAAGAAAGAAGCAUCUAAGCUCCUGCUGGGGGAGUUUAACCAUGACUAUCUACAUUCCAAGAGCUGCUUCAGGAAAUGGAGCUAGGGAUAUCGAUGGUUGUAUCCACCCUUCAAGUGAUUUAUGAACAUCAGUGAAGACCCCCAUACAACAAGGUAUUGAACUGUUCUGGAGGUAUUUCUUAGGCCCUGGAGGUAUUCAGUUCAGCGAAAGAAUGAAACCCAAAGUUUUAUCUUUCUCCUCCACUGAUGGGAACCACAUUUUCACUGCUUCCAGCUUUCCAGGUCUCCUGAAACCUAAAAAGAACACUGGUGGCUGGGGUUUAGCCAGAAUUUGUAUCAGUAGAGAGAUCUUGAGAUUAAGACUGGAUUCAAGUCUCAGCUUUGCCACCUACUGUGUGUGAGUGACCUUGAUCAUGUCCUUUAACUUCUCUGAGCUGUUUCCUCAUCUUUAAAACAAGGGUAAUUACAAUAACUACUUCUCAGGGUUUAUGUGAGGCUCAGAUAAGUAAACAGACAUGAAACUUCCUUGUAGGUACUAAAUCAACACUAUGGGGGCAGAGGGGGAGAGGAGCUUUAAAGCUUGAUUCCUACAUCUCCUGUCAAGAUUCACACAGAAUUGGCAUUAUCAAGGUUAUUUUAAAGAGAGAAAUUAAGACCAGAAAACCUCAUGGAAUUUCCUACCUGCUUUUUAGCCAGUCUGUACAGCAUCUGGAAACCCUGGUGGCGUGGUGGUGAAGUGCUAUGGCUGCUAACCAAAAGGUCAGCAGUUCGAAUCUACCAGGUGCUCCUUGGAAGCGCUAUAGGGCAGUUCUACUCUGUCCUAUAGGCUCUCUAUGAGUCAGAAUCGACUCGAUGGCAAUGGGUUUUUUGGGUUUGGUACAGCAUCUACUAGAAAUGAAUCUAGAUGUUUAGAAAUAGUCCUUUAGGCCACGAGUAGCAUGUGUAUGUUCCAAAUCAAACCAAACCCCUUGCCAUCGGGUCAAUUCUGACUCAUGGUGACCCCAUGAGUUCCGGAGUGGAACUGCUCCAUAAGGUUUUUCUUGGCUGUAAUCUUUAUGGAAGCAGAUAGCCAGGCCUUUCCUUUCAUGGCACUGCUGGGUGGGUUCGAACCACCAACCUUUAGGUUAGUGUUUAGUGCAAAUCAUUUGGCCACCCAGGUGUAUGGGUAUAAAAACUCAUUGCCAUCAAGUUGAUUCUGACUCAUAGUAUGCCUAUAAGACAGAGUAGAACUGCCCCAUGAUGUUUUCAAGGAGCAGCUGGUGGAUUCGAACUGUCAACGUUAUGGUUAACAACCGAGCUCUUAAGCACUGCACCACCAAUUUAUGCCCAAAUAUCGAGUUCAGAGUCUUGUUAAACUCAACCCAAUUAACUCAAUCAAUAAACCACUACUGCAUGUUCAGCUCUGCCCAGAUACAGAAGGAGAAACAUCCCUGCGCUAAAGAGAGCUGAUGUCUGAAUCAUUUAGUGGCUGUCCUAUUCGAAAAAAUGGAGGAGUGGGGGCGGUGUUGCCAUAAGGCUAGUAAUAAGAGGAGGCAGGAAUCUCACUGGAAUCAGGGAACCAAGCAGCACCAAAAUUAAACAUCUAAGGAGCUCUGGGGAUGGGCUUACCAUAUGUCUCUCAGCACUGGGGCUUGUGGAUCUAUAACUAGUUAGGUGCUAUCAAUGUGACUCAACUGCUCUCUUAGUCCCUGCUUCUCAGAUGAAUGCUUGAGAAGGAAAACCUGAUCGGUCUUUGUAAUUAUCAAGACCCAUGUUUAGGGAGAGUUCGUGUGGCUGGGCCACCUCUAAACUCUCUGACCACCUGUGACCUGGCUACCCUGGGCCAAUGUCCACUCAGCUAGAACCAGUGAGUCACUUGGUACAGAGUGCCCCUGUUUAAGGAACAGUCUGGAGCUGCUCCCCUCUACAGGGAUUCUAGAUGGGCCAGUUUACUUCAGAAGAGGUUGUUAGCCUGCAAAUACCAUAAUAAUCUUCUUUAACAAACACUUUCCCUAUUGCUCUCCCUCACAUACACCUGGAGAACAUCAAGGGUAACAAACCAGUCAUAUGGGCUAGAGUAAUUGGGAAUAAAAAAAAAAAAAAAAGGCUUUCUAAAACAGGGGAGUCCCUGGGUGGUGCAAUGGUUAAUGCGCUUGGCUGCUAACAGAAAGAUCAGAGGUUGGAGUCCACCCAAAAGUGCCUCGGGAGAAAGGCGUGGUGAUCUACUUCAAAACAAUCAACCACUGAAAACCCUGUGGAGCAUAGCUUUACUCUGACACACAGGAGGUCACCAUGAGCUGGAGUUUACUCCAUGGCAACUGUCUUUUUUUGUGAUUUUGUUGUUGUUGUUCCUAAAAAGGGUGGGAAGAAAAUCAAACCUUGAAAAUGGGCUGGACAUUAGAUAGAGAAAGAAGAUGGAGACAUUCCAAGCAGGUGGAAUUGAAUGAACAAAGGCCAAAUUCCCAAACUGAACCUCUGGCAAGAGUUCCCUUAAGUGUAAUAGCCAGGAGUCACUGCAUCUCCUUUCAAGUUGGGAAUAAAAUAGUAAAGGGAAAACUGAUCACUUCUUCUGUGAAGGAGUGACUCUCCCUGUUGCUGGAUAUUGAUGUGUGUAUUAAUAUAGCUGAGGGUCCUUUCUAGAUUCUUCCAUACUCAAAAUCAUGCUUUCUUCAUUAAAUUAAUGCUAUUUCUCCCUGCCCCAGUGCUUGGCCUGCUGAUGUUAUUCCUAAGAAGAAUAAUAGCAAAUAAUAAUAGCUAACAUCUGUAGACAACCUUAGUGACAGGCAUUGUGUUCAACUCUUAAGUGUAUCAUCUCAUAGAAUCUUUAAUAUAACGUGUGUUGUAAGAAAGAACUUUGCAAAGCUAAUCAUUAACAAGAAAAGGAAGACUUCCGCAAAGAAGUAAUAUUUAAGCUGGGUCUUCAAAGAAGGUGCUGGAGUUUUCCUGGUAUUCAAGCCUAGGAAAGGCAUUACAGGCAGUGGGACUGGCAUCAGAGAUACAGGAACAAUCAUGGUGUGUUCCAGAAACAGCAGUGAAGUUGGAUGAUAGGAUACUUGUGGGCAGGGGUAGAAGGGGCUAAAAGAAGCCAUACUGCAAGGAGUUUUAUAGCAAUUUUAUCAAUUAGCAACAAGGAGCCAUUGAAGUGCUUUAACAGGGGAGAGGCAUUAUCAGAUUUACAUCUUAGGGAGAUGCUUUUUUUUUUUUUAGGGCAGCGUGGAGCAUGGAUUGACGGAACAGGAGCCUGGAGGGAGGGGCUGCCUUUUGACAAAGUCCGACAAAGAAAUGCCGUAGAACAAAACUGAGGCAGUGACAGAGGAGACAGAAAGGAAGGGACUCAGUCAGGAGUGAAGAUCAAGAUACAGUCCCCGCUUUCAGGGCUUAGAACCAGCAAGGAAAGGAAAAGCUGGCACACAAAUGCCAGUGACACCAGUUGUGGGGGUGUAAGGCCACGUAGACAGUAGAUAGAAUGGACAGGGGACAAGUUUAGUUAGAAUGAGAGAGGACUUCCAGCCCAAAGGGGCUGGUAUUUGCCUUUCAAACCAACAAAUGAGCAGGAUUUUAAUAGGCAGGAAUGUGAAGAGCAUUCCAGAAGGGAGCAGCAAAGGCAAAGGCUUAAAUAAACCCAGAGUAAAGGCUUGUUGGGACAGGUGGCAGAGUGGGGAACAACCUCACCACACUGUGCUCCAGCCCUGCGGAGUCCUGAGCAGGGUCCUGUCUGCUUUCCCACUCACCCUGGUAGACCCUCAGUGAUAACCCCUUCCCAGUUGAGGUAGAAGAAAUUAUACAUGGUCUUUAUCACCUAAAACUGCAGGUAACGGUCUGUACAUGCUCAAGGGCCUGGAAUAACACUCUCAUAACAACCUCUGGAGAGUCCCUGGGUGGUGCAAAUGAUUAAUGCGCUAAAAGGUUGGAGGUUCGAGUCUGCCUAGAGGUGCCUUAGAAGAAAGACCUGGUAAUCUACUUCCGAAAAUCAGAGAUCGUAAACCCUAUGGAGCUCAGUUCUACUUUGGCACAUAUGGGGUCACCAUUAGAGCUGGCUUGGCAGCAACUGUUUGGUUUUUAACAACCCCAUGAAUGUGGCACUGAGACGCUUCAUCAAAAGGAGUUUAAGAUACAAAUCUGUUGGGCUUCUCUCAGCCUGCUCAACACCCCGUUUCCUGGGGUCUUUUGGGCAAAUGGCCCUACCAGGCAGUUCAGCGCUUGACUGUCCCGGGUCUUCUCUGAUUGUUUUGAGAAUGAGUCUUCCAUCCUCAAGAAACUGAACGGUAAGUCAGGGACUGAGGCAGUCUACUGUGUCUGUGUAGCUGUGACUCCCAAGUCUUUCUCUUGGAGAAGGCACAGGGCUCCCUGCCUGCCAGCUCUCUGUGUUUCCCCACCUGGAGCAGGAGGACCCGCAAACUGCGAGACCUCGCCCCCUCCUUCCUCCGCCUCUGUUUAUUCACAGGCAGCCCAGAAGGCCGGUUAGCAGUAAAUGAAGCAUUUACCCUUUAAUUCUCAGAUGUAUGUGAUCUGAAAAAAAAAAGAGAGAGAGAGAGAAGAAAAUAUCCCAAAGACGUCAGAGGGAGCGAAUGUGGAGAACAGAUGCUGCUACUUGUUUUUGUCCCUGUUUUGUCUUUUAAAAAUACAUAAAACAUGAGUAAUUAAGGAGAAGCAGUUCCAGCUUUUAGGAAAAUCAACAAGGAGGUAUUUUAAAGUUUGAGCCAAACUUCUUACAUGUUGUUUCGAUACUCGACCUGCUUUGUGGAAUCAUAAAAUUCUAGAGCAAGAAUAGAACUGGAGAGCUACUUAUUCCAGUUCCUGGCUUUUAAGUUGGCGAAUGAACCGUUCAGUAUAGAAAAUGCCCUUUUCCUUGUUUACACUACGUUUAGAAUUUGCCCUUGCUGCCCUGUUGGCCUCGUUUUAUCAUCCAGACAGUCACAAAGUAUUUCCUUAGCUACAAAUAGUCACUCACUCAUUUUAUCCACUUAGUAAAUAUUUACUGAGCGUCUGCUAUGUGCUAGAUGCUGUGUUAGAUCCCAAAGGCUCAAAGUCCUGGUUCCUGAGUUGCAUUUACAUGAUUUGUUUUACAACAGGUACAACAUACGGGCUGCUGUGGAGUCAAGAUUCCACCUCAUGAAAACCCCAUGUGCGUCAGAGUAGAACUGCGCUGUGUAGGAUUUUCAACGGCUGAUUUUUCAAAAGUAGAUCGCCAGGUCUUUCUUCUGGGUGGAAACAAACCUGCAGCCUUUCAGGGUGUAGUAGCCAAGUGUGUUAACUCUUUAUACCACCUAGGGGCUCCAGUUACAAUAUCCAAAACCAAAAAUCAGACCAGUUGUCUCAGAGUCGAUUCCAACUCAUGGGACCCCACGCAUUACAGAGUGGAACUGAACUCCAUAGGGUUUUCUUGGCUGUAAUCUUUACAGAAGCAGAUCACCAGUCCUUUUUUCUGAGGUGCCAGUGGGUAGGUUCAAACCUUUGGGUUAGUAACUGAGCGCAAACCAUUUGCAGGGAUUUAAGUUACAAUGCAGCUCGGGAUAAUAUGAUGGAGGUGGCCGUGAAGAGGGAGGGGCAGUGAGUAGGGAUCUAAACCAGACUGAGGGAGAAACAUGCUUCACCAUGUACAUCAGAUCAGCUGCACCAACAUAAAUACGUAACAUAACAGCAUCUGUAUGUUGUUCUUCAGUUUUAAAAGGACAUUCCCAGUGGUCUCGUUGAUGUUGGCAGCAACCAUGUGAGUAGGUCUUGUUAUUAUGUUUGAUUCACACGUGAGGAAAUGGAGGCUCAAGUUUUCAAACAUUGCAGGUGCCUGACGGGAAGCACAUGUGGGUCUUGGGACUCCAGGUCUCUUGUUCUCCUCUCUCCCUGACACGAGCUGUCUAUUACCAUUUCAAAACCAUGAACUAAUAUGACAGAGCAUGUCUGAUGCCAGGCACAAUGGUAUCACUUCAGCUAUCCAUGGUUCUUGACCUAGUGUAGUGACCCAAAACUUUAUUCCUGAAGUCUGAACCACUAGCAGCGCUUCCUGUGUUGGACAACUUGAAGCACUUAUUGAUGAAGGUCAAAGACUACAACUUUCAGUAGGGAUUAUGCUUGAAUAUGAAGAAAACAAAAAUCCUCACAAUUGGACUGAUAGACAACAUCAUGAUCAAUGGAGAAAAAAUUGAAGUUGUCAAUGAUUUCAUUCUUCUUGGAUGAACAAUCAAUGUCAAUGGAAGCAGCAGUCAAGAAAUCAAAUGACAUAUGGCAUUGGGCAAAUCUACUUCAAAAGACCUCUUUACCUAGGGAUAUACCCUAGAGAUCUGGUAGCAGUGACUUGAACAGACAUAUGCACACCUAUGUUCAUUCCAGCAUCAUUCACAAAAAAUAGAAGCCACCUAAGUGCCCAUCAAUGGAUGAAUGGAUAAGCAAAUUGUGGUACAUACAUACAACAGAAUAUGACACAAAUAUAGAGAAUAGUGAGGAGUUCGUGAAACAUUUUAUAACAUGGAUGAAUCUGGAGGACAUUAUGCUGAGUGAAAUAAGUCAAUCACAAAAGGACAAAUAUUAUAUGGUCUCACUAUUACAAAAAGUCAGGAAUAGGUAUAUACGAAAAAGCAAUAUGCUUUGAUGGUUACCAAGGAUGGAAGGGGGAGGAAGGGGAAAUCACUUUCUAGGUGAUGGGAAAGUCAAUACCAAAUAUGGGUGAAGUUUGCACAACUUGACCAAGGUAAAUGGAGACACUAAAAAGUACACAAGAAUAAGGGGCAAUUUCAGUAAAUGCUGUAACAUAAACAAUUUUGCAACAACAGUAAUAACAGCCAAAAAAUAUGUAUGUAGUUACAUAGGUAGGUAUGUAGGCAUAUAUGUGUAUGGGAAGACAUAUGUGAGUACAUGCUUGCGCAUGUGUAGGUGUAUCUGUAGCCAUAUGUAUGUACAUGUUUGUAUGUGCUGCAUAUAUAUUCACAUAUAUAAGAAAGCAUGUAAGGGACACAGUUACGGAGACAUUCUAGACAUACCCAAACACUUCACAGGAUUGGUUUACCAGGUUAAAAGGCUUAGGACCAUAGUCUUGUGGGUCAACUCAGUCAAUUGGCAUAACAUAGUUCCUAAUGUUCUACACCCUAAUUUGGUGAGUAGUGUCUGGGGUCUUAAAAGUGGCCAUCUAAGAUACAACUCUUGGUGUCUACUAGUCUGGAGCAAAAGAGAAAGAAGGAAACCAAAGACUCAAAUAAGAAACUAUAGGAUUAAGAGACCACACAAACCAUGUUCUCAUCUAUCCUGAAACCAAAAGAACUAGAUGGUUCCUGGCUACCACUACCGACCGUUCUGAUCAGGGACACAUUAGAUGGUCCUAGUUAGAAUGGGAGAAAAAUGUAGAACAAAACUCAAAUUCUUAAAAAAGGCCAUAGUUAUUGGACUGGUAGAGACUAGAGGAACCCCCAAGACUGUUGCCCUGUGAUACUAUUUAAACUUGGAACUGAAACCACCCCUGGAGGUAACCUUUCAGCUAAAUAGCAGAUUGGAUCAUAAAAUAAACAAUAUCACUAGCGAGUACUGAACUUUUUAAAAAAAUAUAUAAUCUAUAUGAGACCAAACGGUCAACACUUACCCUAAAGAAAAGAUGACAAGGUAAGCGGGGGGCAGAGAAGCUAGAAUAAUGGAAACAGAACAACCGGAAUGACAGUAAAGAAUAUUGACACAUUGUGAAAAAUGUAACCAAUGUUACUGAACAGUAUUAUAAAAAUUGUCAAAUGUGAACCUAAUUUGCUGUGUAAACUUUCACCAAAAACACAGUAAAAUAUUAUUUAAAAAAUAAAAUAAGUACAACUUAUUAGCUAUUAGCAUAUGAACAUUUUAGUACUUCAGACAACUAUUGUGCAAUUAAGUGCAAUGACUGGCAUAUGGUAGCCUCUCAAUAAAUGAUGACUUAUUUGUGAUAUUAAAAAAAAAAAAAAGACCUCUUUAAAGUUUUUAAAAGCACAGAUAUCACUUCAAUGACUAAUGUGCUCCUAGCCAAAUCCAUGGUAUUUUCAAUCACCUCAUAUGCAUGCAAAAGCUGGACAACGGAAAAAAAGGCAGAAAGAGAAGUGAUGUAUUUGAACUGUGGUGUUGGCAAAGAAUAUUAAAUACACCGUGGACUUCCAGAAGAAGGAACAAAUCAGUCUUAGAAGAAAUACCAACAGAAUGCUCCUUGGACACAAGGUUGGUGAAACUUCAGCUUACUUAUUUUGGACACAGCAUCGGGAAAACCAUUCACUGGAAAAGGACAUUAUAUUUGGUAAAGUAGAGGAUCUGCAAAAAUAAGGGAAACCUUCGCUAAGAUGGAAUGACACAAUAACCACAACAAUGGACUCAAACAUACCAAUUAUCAUGAAAAUGACGCAAGACCAGACAACAUUUUGGUCUGUUACGCGUAAGGUCACCAUGAGUUGGAGCCAAUGCAUAGCAAGAACAAAAACGACUGUUUUGAACUGCUAUAUUUUUCAAUUUUCUUUUUUACUGGCAUGAUAGUACUAACAGGCACCCUCCAAAACUCUCUAGAUUCUAAAUAUACGCUUUCUUCACCCUGUCUUAAAGCAGCAAGCCUAUUUGAGGAUUGGUUAUACCAGAAAGUACAGUAAAACCUUUCUUAACCUCUUGGUUCAGUGACUUGAGAAAAACAAAACUGAGAACCUCUCUUUCAUUGUAAUGUCCCAUGAAGAAAAUUUUCUCACUUGGAAACUAAGAUCUCUAAACCAGCAGAGCCCAAAGAUGCAAGCACGUGGAGUAAAUUUCUUCAGGUCCUCUGUUAGGAAUAACAGUUGUAGAAUAGAGGUACAAGAAGCCAUUUCCCCUCUAGUUCCUAGACCAAUGUAUUCUGCAUUAUGGAUUGGUCAUUUGUUCAAAGCAUGUAAUAUAUUUUGUAGGAUAGCUCUCCACUCACAUAAUCUUCUCUCUUCCUGCUGGCACGAUAAUUGAGCCUUCAUCAAGCCAUGCUACCAUAUUGUAAAACCAGAUGCUUCUAUGAGAUGGAGUACAAAAUAAAGCCAGUGAAACUUGUGGGCAUGAAAACAUUACCACACUUUUUUGUUGUAAAAUUAAUUCCUUGGUCACAAGCAAUAUUGUGUGGAACACUAUAUGAUAACUAAGUUCACAGAUGGUGAAGCUGGCAAAAGCAUAGUAGGCAGGAAAAGCAAGUCCAUAUCUGGAGUAAGUGUCUAUUCCAGUAAGAACAAAAUGCUGUACUCUUCUUGAUAUAAAUGGCCCAAUAUAAUCAACCUGCCACCAGGUGUCCAUCUGAAAAAUGAUGUUAUAUCAGACUCAGACUUAGCUUCUGCUAUUAGCAUAUUGGAGACCCAGCAGUGGCACAAGACAGAUUAGCUUUUAGAAGAGGAAGUCCAUGUUGCUGAGCCCAUGCAUAACUUUUAUCGCUUCCACUAUGGCCACUUUAUUAAUCAAUCCACUGAGCAAAAGUUGGGCUGACUGAGGAAAGGGGUUGAAGGACAUUCACAGAAAUGAUUAUCUUGUCCUCUUGAGUCUUCUCUAUAGUAGAUGCCCUUUAGUGAGCUCUCACAUGGGGCAAGUAUCUUCUCACGCUAUUCCCAUUUUGGAGAUCCAUCCUUACACCCCUCCUCCAUACUUCUGUGUCACCAAUCCUUUCAAAUUCCUGAUCACGAGUGGCAUAGAUUGAUACCUGUAGACAUCCUUCCAUCCAGCCAAAGUAAGAAACUAGAUGCACUACUUCAAGUUAUGGCAACUGGGAACAUUUUUUUUACUUA
Long non-coding RNA from Loxodonta africana (African savanna elephant), 11244 nucleotides. RefSeq lists it as uncharacterized. NCBI's taxonomy places the organism in Eukaryota, Metazoa, Chordata, Mammalia, Proboscidea, Elephantidae. The record is from RefSeq and is a predicted model, not a curated record. The transcript has 3 exons.